This 497-nucleotide ribosomal RNA is filed under the name uncultured bacterium. Its description in RNAcentral is "partial 16S ribosomal RNA". It matches the Rfam family "Bacterial small subunit ribosomal RNA", at positions 28 to 507 of the family's 1533-position model. The record is from RNAcentral.
GAUGAACGCUGGCGGCGUGCCUAAUACAUGCAAGUCGAGCGAACGGACGAGAAGCUUGCUUCUCUGAUGUUAGCGGCGGACGGGUGAGUAACACGUGGAUAACCUACCUAUAAGACUAGGAUAACUUCGGGAAACCGGAGCUAAUACCGGAUAAUAUUUUGAACCGCAUGGUUCAAAAGUGAAAGACGGUCUUGCUGUCACUUAUAGAUGGAUCCGCGCUGCAUUAGCUAGUUGGUAAGGUAACGGCUUACCAAGGCAACGAUGCAUAGCCGACCUGAGAGGGUGAUCGGCCACACUGGAACUGAGACACGGUCCAGACUCCUACGGGAGGCAGCAGUAGGGAAUCUUCCGCAAUGGGCGAAAGCCUGACGGAGCAACGCCGCGUGAGUGAUGAAGGUCUUCGGAUCGUAAAACUCUGUUAUUAGGGAAGAACAUAUGUGUAAGUAACUGUGCACAUCUUGACGGUACCUAAUCAGAAAGCCACGGCUAACUACGUG